GACGAACGCUGGCGGCGUGGAUUAGGCAUGCAAGUCGAACGGUAUCAUCCUUUCGGGGGUGAGAGAGUGGCGAACUGGUGAGUAACACGUAGGUUAUCUACCCUCAAGACGGGGACAACCCAGGGAAACUUGGGCUAAUACCGGAUGUGAGCAACUUUUAGUUGUUUGAAAGGUGGCGUAAGCUGUCGCUUGGGGAUGAGCCUGCGUCCUAUUAGUUAGUUGGUGAGGUAACGGCUCACCUAGGCAAUGAUAGGUAGGCGGCCUUAACGGGUGGUCGCCCACACUGGGAUUGAGAUACGGCCCAGACUCCUACGGGAGGCAGCAGUCGAGAAUAGUCUACAAUGGUCGGAAGACUGAUAGUGCGACGCCGCGUGAACGAUGAAUCCCUUCGGGGUGUAAAGUUCUUUUAUAUGUAAGCAGUGCUUCUUAUAUUAACAGUAUGGGGAGAGAGAUAUUAGCAUAUGAAUAAGCAACGGCUAACUCCGUGCCAGCAGCCGCGGUAAAAUCACG
RNAcentral lists this ribosomal RNA (510 nucleotides) under uncultured bacterium. RNAcentral's name for it is "bacterial SSU rRNA". It matches the Rfam family "Bacterial small subunit ribosomal RNA", at positions 28 to 527 of the family's 1533-position model. The record is from RNAcentral.